RNAcentral lists this ribosomal RNA (253 nucleotides) under uncultured bacterium. Its description in RNAcentral is "partial 16S ribosomal RNA". It matches the Rfam family "Bacterial small subunit ribosomal RNA", at positions 524 to 776 of the family's 1533-position model. The record is from RNAcentral.
UACGAAGGGGGCUAGCGUUGCUCGGAAUCACUGGGCGUAAAGCGCACGUAGGCGGAUUGCUAAGUCAGGGGUGAAAUCCUGGAGCUCAACUCCAGAACUGCCUUUGAUACUGGCGGUCUCGAGUCCGGGAGAGGUGAGAGGAACUGCGAGUGUAGAGGUGAAAUUCGUAGAUAUUCGCAAGAACACCAGUGGCGAAGGCGGCUCACUGGCCCGGUACUGACGCUGAGGUGCGAAAGCGUGGGGAGCAAACAGG